RNAcentral lists this ribosomal RNA (437 nucleotides) under uncultured bacterium. RNAcentral's name for it is "bacterial SSU rRNA". It matches the Rfam family "Bacterial small subunit ribosomal RNA", at positions 29 to 448 of the family's 1533-position model. The record is from RNAcentral.
AUGAACGCUGGCGGCGUGCUUAACACAUGCAAGUCGAGCGAAGCACUUACCAUUGACUCUUCGGAAGAUUUGGUAAAUGACUGAGCGGCGGACGGGUGAGUAACGCGUGGGUAACCUGCCUCAUACAGGGGAAUAACAGUUAGAAAUGGCUGCUAAUGCCGCAUAAGCGCACAGUACCGCAUGAUACGGUGUGAAAAACCGAGGUGGUAUGAGAUGGACCCGCGUCUGAUUAGGUAGUUGGUGGGGUAACGGCCUACCAAGCCGACGAUCAGUAGCCGGCCUGAGAGGGUGAACGGCCACAUUGGGACUGAGACACGGCCCAGACUCCUACGGGAGGCAGCAGUGGGGAAUAUUGCACAAUGGGGGAAACCCUGAUGCAGCGACGCCGCGUGAAGGAAGAAGUAUCUCGGUAUGUAAACUUCUAUCAGCAGGGAAGA